GUUUCCCUACGGGGCGCAGCAGUGAGGAAUAUUGGUCAAUGGUCGGGAGACUGAACCAGCCAAGCCGCGUGAGGGAGGAAGGUACAGAGUAUCGUAAACCUCUUUUGUCAGGGAACAAAGACUGGGACGCGUCCCCGGAUGAGUGUACCUGAAGAAAAAGCAUCGGCUAACUCCGUGCCAGCAGCCGCGGUAAUACGGAGGAUGCGAGCGUUAUCCGGAUUUAUUGGGUUUAGAGGGUGCGCAGGCGGUCUGUUAAGUCAGCGGUCAAAGCCCGGGGCUCAACCCCGGCCCGCCGUUGAAACUGG
RNAcentral lists this ribosomal RNA (305 nucleotides) under uncultured bacterium. RNAcentral describes it as "bacterial SSU rRNA". It matches the Rfam family "Bacterial small subunit ribosomal RNA", at positions 333 to 636 of the family's 1533-position model. The record is from RNAcentral.